This 372-nucleotide ribosomal RNA is filed under the name uncultured organism. RNAcentral describes it as "partial 16S ribosomal RNA". It matches the Rfam family "Bacterial small subunit ribosomal RNA", at positions 527 to 896 of the family's 1533-position model. The record is from RNAcentral.
GUAGGUGGCAAGCGUUGUCCGGAAUUAUUGGGCGUAAAGCGCGCGCAGGCGGGUUCUUUAAGUCUGAUGUGAAAGCCCACGGGCUCAACCGUGAGGGUCAUUGGAAACUGGAGAACUUGAGUACAGAAGAGGAAAGCGGAAUUCCACGUGUAGUGGUGAAAUGCGUAGAGAUGUGGAGGAACACCAGUGGCGAAGGCGGCUUUCUGGUCUGUAACUGACGCUGAGGCGCGAAAGCGUGGGGAGCAAACAGGAUUAGAUACCCUGGUAGUCCACGCCGUAAACGAUGAGUGCUAAGUGUUAGGGGGUUUCCGCCCCUUAGUGCUGCAGCUAACGCAUUAAGCACUCCGCCUGGGGAGUACGGCCGCAAGGCUG